CAAUAGCGUAUAUUAAAGUUGUUGCAGUUAGAACGCUCGUAGUCGGAUUUCGGGGCGUUCCGACCGGUCUGCCGAUGGGUAUGCACUGGCCGGAGUGUCCUUUUUGCCGGAGACCGUGCCUACUCUUAACUGAGCGGGGGCGGGAGACGGCACUUUUACUUUGAAAAAAUCAGAGUGUUUCAAGCAGGCAGCUCGCUCUUGCAUGGAUUAGCAUGGGAUAAUGAAAUAGGACUUUGGUGCUAUUUUGUUGGUUUCGAACACCGAAGUAAUGAUGAGAAGGGACAGUCAGGGGCACUCGUAUUCCGCAGAGAGAGGUGAAAUUCUCAGACCCGCGGAAGACGAACCACUGCGAANGNAUUUGCNAGGGAUGUUUNCACUG
This 379-nucleotide ribosomal RNA is filed under the name uncultured eukaryote. RNAcentral describes it as "partial 18S ribosomal RNA". It matches the Rfam family "Eukaryotic small subunit ribosomal RNA", at positions 592 to 975 of the family's 1831-position model. The record is from RNAcentral.